AUGCGUCGAGACCAUCGUUGCAACGUUGCGACCUCUGCCCCGGAGUACCUCAAGUUCGUCUACAUGAAACUGCCAAGUACCUCUACGCACGGAUACCGUCAAGUACCUACACCGGCAAGGCUACACGGACGUUCGUUCCACUACAACACCGAAAUGUCAAGGUCGACUAUGUUUUGUUGCCCCGUCCGUAGUCGUCAAGUACCCGAAGACCGUAUUGGCACCAAGUACAUCAAGCGUCGUCUUCGGAAUCGCUAA
This 255-nucleotide ribosomal RNA is filed under the name Triticum aestivum (bread wheat). RNAcentral describes it as "partial small subunit ribosomal RNA". The record is from RNAcentral. Lineage: Eukaryota; Viridiplantae; Streptophyta; Magnoliopsida; Poales; Poaceae.